UUGAGCGGAGAUUAUGGAGCUUGCUUUAUAUAACUUAGCAGCGAACGGGUGAGUAACACGUAGAUAAUCUAUCCUAUACUGGGGGAUAGCCCGAUGAAAGUUGGAUUAAUACCGCAUAUAGCUAUAUAGUUGCAUGAUUAUGUAGUGAAAGAUUUAUUGGUAUAGGAGGAGUCUGCGGCACAUUAGCUAGUAGGUGAGGUAAAGGCUUACCUAGGCGACGAUGUGUAGCCGGUCUGAGAGGAUGAACGGCCACAAUGGAACUGAGACACGGUCCAUACUCCUACGGGAGGCAGCAGUGGGGAAUAUUGCACAAUGGGGGAAACCCUGAUGCAGCAACGCCGCGUGAGUGAAGAAGGUUUUCGGAUUGUAAAGCUCUGUUAGCAGGGAAGAGGAAGGACGGUACCUGCAGAGGAAGCCACGGCUAACUACGUGCCAGCAGCCGCGGUAAUACGUAGGUGGCAAGCGUUGUUCGGAAUAACUGGGCGUAAAGGAUGCGUAGGCGGUUAAACAAGUUAUAUGUUAAAUAUAUAGGCUUAACCUGUAGAAAGCAUAUAAAACUGUUUAACUAGAGUGCAGGAGAGGUAAGUGGAAUUCCUAGUGUAGCGGUGAAAUGCGUAGAGAUUAGGAAGAACACCAGUGGCGAAGGCGACUUACUGGACUGUAACUGACGCUGAGGCAUGAGAGCAUGGGGAGCAAACAGGAUUAGAUACCCUGGUAGUCCAUGCUGUAAACGAUGGGUACUAGGUGUGGGUUGUGAAUAACAAUUCGUGCCGUCGCAAACGCAAUAAGUACCCCGCCUGAGGAGUA
This 807-nucleotide ribosomal RNA is filed under the name uncultured bacterium. RNAcentral's name for it is "bacterial SSU rRNA". It matches the Rfam family "Bacterial small subunit ribosomal RNA", at positions 62 to 882 of the family's 1533-position model. The record is from RNAcentral.